RNAcentral lists this ribosomal RNA (397 nucleotides) under uncultured bacterium. RNAcentral describes it as "bacterial SSU rRNA". It matches the Rfam family "Bacterial small subunit ribosomal RNA", at positions 361 to 775 of the family's 1533-position model. The record is from RNAcentral.
AUAUUGGUCAAUGGGCGAGAGCCUGAACCAGCCAAGUAGCGUGAGUGAAGAAGUAUUUCGGUAUGUAAAGCUCUAUCAGCAGGGAAGAAAAUGACGGUACCUGACUAAGAAGCCCCGGCUAACUACGUGCCAGCAGCCGCGGUAAUACGUAGGGGGCAAGCGUUAUCCGGAUUUACUGGGUGUAAAGGGAGCGUAGACGGCAAGGCAAGUCUGAAGUGAAAGCCCGGGGCUUAACCGCGGGACUGCUUUGGAAACUGUCUGGCUGGAGUGCCGGAGAGGUAAGCGGAAUUCCUAGUGUAGCGGUGAAAUGCGUAGAUAUUAGGAGGAACACCAGUGGCGAAGGCGGCUUACUGGACGGUAACUGACGUUGAGGCUCGAAAGCGUGGGGAGCAAACAG